AUGUCCCCAGGUGUGUCUCAGGUGUGCCUUGACAUCCCCAGGUGUGUCCCAGAUGUCCCCCAGGUGUGUCCCAAAUGUCCCCAAGGUGCCUCAGGUGUGUCCCAGGUGUCCCUUCCCCACUCCAGCUGUGUCCCAGGUGUCCCAGGUGUGUCCCCAGGUGUGUCCCAAUGUCCCCAGGUGUGUCCCAGGUGUCCCCAAAUGUCCCCCAGAUGUCCCCAGGUGUGUCCCAGGUGUCCCCAGGUGUCCCCAGGUGUGUCCCAGAUGUCCCCAGGUGAGUCCCAGGUGUCCCCAGGUGUCCCCAGGUGUGUCCCCAGGUGUCCCCAGGUGUCCCCAGGUGUCCCCAGGUGUGUCUCAGGUGUCCCCAGGUGUCCCCAGGUGUCCCCACCUGGCUAUGCGCUCCUUCAUCUGCACCACGGACGCCUCCGUGGCCGAAUCCAGGGAAUCCCUGCGGAAAAGGACCCAAAAAACUCCAAAAGAAUUCCCAAAUUUUGGGGCAAAUCCAGAGAAAACCAAAAAAAUUCCCAAAUUUCGGGGCAAAUCCAGCCAAAAUUCCCAAAUUUUGGGGCAAAUCCAGCCAAAAUUCCCAAAUUUUGGGACAAAUCCAGCCAAAAUUCCCAAAUUUUGGGGCAAAUCCAGCCAAAAUUCCCAAAUUUCGGGGCAAAUCCAGCAAAAACCCCAAAUUUCGGGACAAAUCCAGCCAAAAUUCCCAAAAGGACCCAAAAAAUUCCAAAAGAAUUCCCAAAUUUUGGGGCAAAUCAAGAGAAAACCAAAAAAUCCCCAAAUUUCGGGGCAAAUCCAGCCAAAAUUCCCCAAAUUUCGGGGCAAAUCCAGCCAAAAUUCCCAAAUUUCGGGGCAAAUCCAGCCAAAAUUCCCAAAUUUUGGGGCAAAUCCAGCCAAAAUCCCCAAAUUUCGGGGCAAAUCCAGCCAAAAUUCCCAAAUUUCAGGACAAAUCCAGCCAAAAUUCCCAAAAGGACCGAAAAAAUUCCAAAAGAAUUCCCAAAUUUUGGGGCAAAUCCAGAGAAAACCCAAAAAAUCCCCAAAUUUCAGGGCAAAUCCAGCCAAAAUCCCCAAAUUUCGGGGCAAAUCCAACCAAAAUUCCCCAAAUUUCGGGGCAAAUCCAGCCAAAAUUCCCAAAUUUCGGGGCAAAUCCAGCCAAAAUUCCCAAAUUUCGGGACAAAUCCAGCCAAAAUUCCCAAAUUUCGGGGCAAAUCCAACCAAAAUUCCCCAAAUUUUGGGGCAAAUCCAGCCAAAAUUCCCAAAUUUCGGGGCAAAUCCAGCCAAAAUCCCCAAAUUUCGGGACAAAUCCAGCCAAAAUUUCCAAAAGGACCAAAAAAAUUCCAAAAAAUUCCCAAAUUUUGGGGCAAAUCCAGAGAAAACCCCAAAAAUUCCCAAAUUUCGGGGCAAAUCCAGCCAAAAUCCCCAAAUUUCAGGGCAAAUCCAGCCAAAAUUCCCAAAAGGACCCAAAAAAUUCCAAAAAAUCCCCAAAUUUCAGGGCAAAUUCCCAAAUUUUGGGGCAAAUCCAGCCAAAAUCCCCACAGGAAAAGCUCCGGGAUUGCCUCAAAACCCAUCCCCAAAUUCCCAAUUUUUUUUUUUUGGGGAUUUCCGUGGAUUUUUGGCCCCUCCCAGCCUGGAAAUUCCCAAAUUUUGGGGGAUUUUGCCCCAAAUCCUGACCCCGGGGGCGGCUCCACGCAAUCCUCCAGGGUCCCAUCCAGGAGCAGCCUCUGGAGCAGCCGCCGGAAUUCCUCGGUUUUUACCUGGACUGGGGGGGAAAAAACCAGGAUUAGAAACCCCCCCUGUAAUUAA
This is a long non-coding RNA of Cyanistes caeruleus (blue tit), 1803 nucleotides long. NCBI's taxonomy places the organism in Eukaryota, Metazoa, Chordata, Aves, Passeriformes, Paridae. The record is from Ensembl.